UGAGGUAGUGACUCAUUUUGUU
RNAcentral lists this microRNA (22 nucleotides) under Melibe leonina. RNAcentral describes it as "mle-let-7-5p". Its record names the gene mle-let-7-5p. The record is from miRBase by way of RNAcentral. Lineage: Eukaryota; Metazoa; Mollusca; Gastropoda; Nudibranchia; Dendronotidae.